This 200-nucleotide ribosomal RNA is filed under the name uncultured bacterium. Its description in RNAcentral is "partial 16S ribosomal RNA". It matches the Rfam family "Bacterial small subunit ribosomal RNA", at positions 328 to 539 of the family's 1533-position model. The record is from RNAcentral.
ACGCUCGACACCUACGGGGGGCAGCAGUGGGGAAUAUUGCACAAUGGGGGAAACCCGUGAUGCAGCGACGCCGCGUGAGCGAAGAAGUAUCUCGGUAUGUAAAGCUCUAUCAGCAGGGAAGAAGAUGACGGUACCUGACUAAGAAGCACCGGCUAAAUACGUGCCAGCAGCCGCGGUAAUCUGAGGCGGGCUGGCAAGGC